Molecule: long non-coding RNA, 2313 nt
Organism: Alosa alosa (allis shad)
Lineage: Eukaryota; Metazoa; Chordata; Actinopteri; Clupeiformes; Clupeidae
Exons: 3
Source: RefSeq, a predicted model, not a curated record
UGCAAAUGUCAUUCUAUCCAUGUCUCUGAAAUUAGCUGACAUAUACACUCAUAUUGACCUACACUAGACUCAAGUACUGCCCAUGGUUAGCCUACAUUCGGUCUUGUUCAGUAGUCAGCAUGUGCGCGGUCUCCUCGUGAGCCUACCAAUAGCCUAUUCACUUCUAACAUUUAACUUAACUACCAAGAUAACAUAGCCUAUGUCAUAUAAUAUUUCCCCCCUUUGUAAUUUAGGAUAUGAAUUUCAAUGAACAAUUCCAAGAUGCACGAAACAUAAAGGCUUUUGGGAUCAGUUGAUAACUCAACUUACCAAGAACGUAGACACUCGUUUGAUUACUCAUGCAUUAGCACGGUUACGGUCUCUAACCUGUUGUACAGUCCUCGUGACAGCCUACCUACCAACAAACAUCUCAUUUAACAUAACUACCAAGAUAACAUGACGUGUAUUUGUAUUUUAUAUCCAUCGGUAAUGUAGCCUAUGAACCUCUAUGUAGGCUACACAAUCACCUAAGAUGCACGAGAAAUAAAUAGGUUUCUGCGAUCGGUUGAUAACUCAAACUUGCGAUAACACCCGUUUGAUUAGACUCAUACCCUCGGUUACGGUCACUUCAUGAACCUACUAUGAAGCCAGCAACAUUCACCUCUCUAACAUUUAACUUUCUAACUACAAAGAUAACAUGACGUGUAUUUGUAGGCUAUGUGAUGAACUUCCCCAUCGAUAUAUGAAUGGCCAUGAACACAAGUAUCUACGAUGCACUAAAAACAAGGCAUGGUUAAUAACUUGCCGCUAACCAAGACAACCGUUUUGAUUACAUAGACUCAUAGCCUAUACCUCGGUUACGGUCUCGUUUAGUAGGCUAAGUAGCCUGAUGCGCAGUCUCUUCGUGACAAACGAAGCCAGCAACAUUUAACUUUAUAACUAGGCUACCCAGAUAACGUGUAGCCUAUUUGAAGCUUAUGUGAUGUAGGCUACUUCCCCAUUAAUAAUGUGUAAAUGGCCAUGAACACAAUCAUCUACGAUACUAGAAUAAGGCUUGGUUAAUAACUAACUUGUUGAGAACCUAGACCGUUUGAUAACAUUAGACCCUCGAUUACGGUCUCGUUCAGCCUGGCACGGUCUUCGUGAGGCUACUAUGAAGCCAGUGUAGUGGGGUUAGAUUGCUCACGCUGACGUUUGUCACGUCAUUAUCAGCCUAAUUACUUGGCAAUCCCCCUGAUUAGCAGCUGCUGCCCUAAUACCUUUAAAAGACCUAGAAGUACCGGUGAGUGACUGCGCUGUAAUUCUUGCUCCCCUUCCGUUGAGAAUGCUCCCUGUCUAGCGUGGUAGGUGUCUUUUCUUAGUGGGUUGUGUUGGCUUUCCACACUUUAUGUUUAUGGGCUUACCUUUUGUCUUGUAGCCUCGUAACUGCUGUUUGCCUCCUCCACCACUCCUGUUGAGGGUAUUUCUAUUUCCUGCCAGCUCAGUGCGGAUCUGUGACCUCACCCUAUCUGGAGCGGGUGCGUGUAGCCUGGUUGACUGGAAUGCCGGACUUCACAGGCGCUGCUGUUUUGUCUGAUGAUCGAUUGCUGUCUAGUGUUGGUCUCGUUGUCUUGCUUGUAACUGGUGACUAUUUUGUGAGUUUUAUUUUGUUUGUUUGCUCCGUCUUUGUCCAGUCGCGUAUUGUCUGCAUCUGCUUUCGUAUACUCUGUCUUUAUUUUGGGUUUUCUUUUGGUUUUGUUGGUGAAGCUACCUAUAACAUCUACUGCUUGAAGCUGCCUAAUUAUAACAUCUAGGCUACUGCAUGUUGCCAGUGUUUCCCGUGCGCUGUCGCAUGAUUAGUAUCGCUCUCAGUUUUGUUUGCAUGUGAUUGUGUAUGCUGUCGCUUUGCAUGAUUUAAGCUUUGUCAGUGUUAGUGUUGCUGUCUUCAGUGUAUUGUGGUUGUGUCCUUUUUGGUUGAUUUAUUGCUAUCCUCUGGUGCCUUAAUUGUUUUGUCGUUUGUUUGGCAGGUCGGGGCACUCCUAAGGGGAGGCUAGGCACCUGGUGGUGGGACCCUAUCACUGCAUGUUUGCUGUGCUUUAUUGUGCUGUGCCGUGCUGUGUGUUGCUGUGCUGUGCGGUUCAGUGUACUGCUUACUGCAGCCUGCGUUAUAGAGAAACUCACUUCACUCUGAGUGUGUGUGCACGUGUGUUUGGUGUGAAUCUUGGAACACCUCAUCAGUAGCGUGCCUCCCUUGGGUAAGCUCCCUCCUAGCUGCAUUUAUUGAGUUCUGUGGACGUUUGGUCCCUCAAAUGCCUAGACUCCAAUGUAUGAUCUAUAAGAUCUGAUUUUAAGAAC